GAGAAAGCUCGCAAGGACUGCUAAUUCUAUGCCUCCAUGGCUAAUACCAUGGCUUCCUCA
RNAcentral lists this transfer RNA (60 nucleotides) under Hyemoschus aquaticus (Water chevrotain). Its description in RNAcentral is "tRNA-Ser". Lineage: Eukaryota; Metazoa; Chordata; Mammalia; Artiodactyla; Tragulidae. The record is from RNAcentral.